Molecule: long non-coding RNA, 209 nt
Filed under: Malus domestica (apple)
Lineage: Eukaryota; Viridiplantae; Streptophyta; Magnoliopsida; Rosales; Rosaceae
Description: long non-coding RNA (MDOM_LNC016648)
Source: RNAcentral
GUUGUUAUUUGAAAUAUAAGUUGUACUAAAUAAUGUCUGCGCUACACCUAAUAAUUAUUUGUAAUUAAUCACUUCAUUGCUUAUUAAUAUGCGUUACGCCUGUUUGUUACUAUUUUUUCAUGCUUUUGUAAAUUGAUACGGAUUCGGGUGUUGUGUUAGGGAGCACUUGUCUUUUUUUUUUUUUUCCUUCCAAGUACAUUGAUAUAUUU